GGGGCGGGGCUGGGCGCUGACUAGGGCGGGAGAAAGGAAGAGUGCUCCAAUAAGGCCGCAGGCAGAAGGGCUCGUCCCUUCCUGACCCCUCUGUUCCUGGGCCCAGGGCCCAGGGCCCAGGGCCUGCUCGGAACCUCUCCCGGGGGCACCAUAGGUCUGUGAGCCCCUGAAUUCCAGGGAGGCCCCAGCAGAGCCCCAGACACAGACCGGAGCUGUCCGGCACACACCUGCCGGUGCUUCCUGCCAGACCUGCUGGGGAGGGGUCUACGCACAGGCAGACCCUCCUCCACCUCACACAGAAUCAAGGGUCCUGCACAGUCACACAGCUGGGUCACGUGACACUGGGAGGCUGCUUUCGCUCAGGAAGGACGUGUGAAGAUAAACCAUUUUCAAGCACUGCUGUUCUGAGGGCGGCUGCGCAGGGGCUCAUAAUCCGCCUCGGCAAGCUCUGCUUCACUGACCUGAAUCCUUACACUGAACUCUGAAUUUGUGGAAACAAGUGCCCAUAAAAAUACAGCUGUUUUAAAGGGCACGUUCAUUGGUUUGCUUAAAAUUGUAGUCCAAUUAAGAGUCAAUAAAAUGCCAAUAAACCUCCA
Vicugna pacos (alpaca) is the source of this 596-nucleotide non-coding RNA. The record is from RefSeq and is a predicted model, not a curated record. NCBI's taxonomy places the organism in Eukaryota, Metazoa, Chordata, Mammalia, Artiodactyla, Camelidae.